GUGAAGGCUCUCCUAGACCCAUUUAAGAACUGACUACCAGUAGGAAAGGGUCUUAUCUGAAAAUCCCUCCUCUGGAGUUUUGCAGGGAGCCUAGGGUGCAGGGAAGUUGUCUGAAUGGCAGAAGAGUUGCGCAAGUAACUGGCAGAUCUCUCUUGUUGAGAUUUCUUCCCACAGCGAAGCUGGUUGUUGAAAUGUCUUCUGAAACUCUCACUGAGCAAAUACAGUGCAAAUGGAUUGACACAAGAGUUGCAGAAGCUUAGCACUCGGGCCACUAAGCAGAAUUUUCAAGAAAUGGAGAAAUUAUUUUUACUUACCAAGAAAAGAGAAGUUUAACAUGAGUGAAGAGGGAUUCAUAUUCCAGUGCUUUGCCGAAUCACAGAGUCAUGGAAUAUGCACAGUUGGAAGGCACCCAGAAUGACUACACAGCUCAACCCAACUCCUGGCUGCAUACAGAACCACCCAAAAUUCAAACACUGUGUCUGAGAGCAUUGUCCAAACCACUCCUAGAACUCCAUCGCCUUGGUGCUGUGCCCACUGCCCUGGGCAGCCUGCAGCCUGUUUCAUGUCUGCCGCCCUUCAGGUAGAGACCCUUUCCCUAACUCCAACCUGUCCCUCCCCUGACUCAGCUCCACGCCGUUCCCUCGGGCCCUGUCGCUGUCAAAGAGAGCAGAGCUCAGCGCUGCCCCUCUACUCCCUGUGAGGAGCUGCAGUCGCCAUGAGCCGCCCCCUGCCCCCCAGCUCCUCUGCUCGGUGCUUGGGGCUGAACUAAACGAGGGACCUCAACUGCUCCACAUGAGGCAGCAACCUUGUCAUAAUUCAUUGCUUAAGCAGUAUUUGGUUCUGUUAAUAUCUACACUGGAGACGUUUUCAGAAGCUUUUACAUUCCCAAAAAAGGUGGCAUAUAUUCGUACUUUGACACAUAUUGCUGACCUAUGACUAAGUCCAAAUUUGAGGUCUUUCAAGCAGAGGGCCUUUUUUCCACAAGAGAAGAAAAAAAGUAAUAGCUGGGUUCAGCCCAAAAAAUUUCAGCAUUGUCCUUCAGUUGAAUACGAGAUGGCAUUCUUCCAAGAUCUCAGUAGUCUGUGUCAACGGGAAGGAGAAAGCACUAAGCAAUUUACAAAAUCUGUCAUGUUGUUUAUAUAUCUGCAAAGACAUAGAGACAGGUUACAGAUAAAAUCAAAUGCAAACUAGGCGAACUCAGAAGUAUUCCCAAAAUGAAUAUCCAGCUUCUUCCUUUGGAUAAAACUUAUGUAAGGCUAAAAUAUAUCACCAACCAUUCAGAUUACAAAUUGUGUAUUUUUUUAUAAAUUAAACAACAUUGGUAAAUCAGAGUAAGAAGCAAAUUAUUUAGGUAAAUUAUUUAAAAAAUUCCAUCUUUUCCUUUCCUUCACUAUUGAAAAAAUAAAAUAAUGGGUUCUCAGGAAGAUCAGGAAAUAAUUAUACGUAUGUAUUUGACUUUAAUUAAUUCCUUCACGUAAAUUCUAUCACUCUACUCUGUCAUUAUCACUGCUGACAAAAGCAUCUCAGCUCUUGAAAUAUUUUUAUAGUAAGUUUCCUUACUUUGUAGUUACCAGUGGACACAAGCAAAAACUUGCCUAUUCUGCAGAUAUUAGUUUUGUUUAUAUAGAGCAUAAAUGUCCAACCUGCUACUUUUAUGUUUUUGUUGCCCUCUUUUUUUUAGUAUUUUAAUUUUUUAAAAAAUUGUCUUGUUAUUUAAAUACAUAAACUUUAUUUGUAUAUUUUAUAUGCAUCCCAAAACAAUUCCUUUUCACUCAAUGUAGCCCUGACAAGCCAAAAGGUUGGACACCCAUGUUAUUGAGUGUUUUAAUUACAAAGCAAUCUCCUCCUGUACCCAAAAUAACCAUGAAAGAAAGAAUAUGUUCUUCUUGAGUUAUAACAUUUUGCAGCCUUAUAAAUUAUCAAAUGCCUUCUUAAAUGCAUGUCUCAGUUCUCAAUUAGUAUGUAAAUUUAAUUGGGAAAGCAACUUUCUCUGCUGAAUCCAUUGUGCUAUUUCCCUCCCAUGAACUUGACUUCAAAAGAAGCCGCUUCAUGGUUCAUCGUAAGUGGUUCCUCUGUUAUACUCCUACCUCUUUCUCUAGAGUACUUUGUGCUGAUGCCCUUCAAAACCAAAUUAGAAAGAAUAAGAAAAAAAAAAACAACCCAAAGACAAUAAUUAAGAAGCCACUGAUCAGUGAUUACAGCCUAUCAUACUACCCAGGGUUGCAGUAAUCCUACAAAGGGAACUGAAAGCUCCUGGGAAAGGCUAAAUACUUCAUCCUUCCUAUUUAUUUUAUUUUUUUUUUUUGCAGUUCAUAAAACUUUUAAAUCAAAAUGUAAAAGGUCAGAUAUUUUGAAAAGGAUAAUAUGAGUAAAUCUGAAUACAAAACAGUAUCUGUUGGUUUACUGGCGCAUUUUGAAUAUCUCCAGA
This is a long non-coding RNA of Tympanuchus pallidicinctus (lesser prairie-chicken), 2428 nucleotides long. RefSeq lists it as uncharacterized. The record is from RefSeq and is a predicted model, not a curated record. Lineage: Eukaryota; Metazoa; Chordata; Aves; Galliformes; Phasianidae. The transcript is spliced from 4 exons.